Molecule: non-coding RNA, 30 nt
Filed under: Rattus norvegicus (Norway rat)
Lineage: Eukaryota; Metazoa; Chordata; Mammalia; Rodentia; Muridae
Source: RNAcentral
UGCCAAUUCCUUGUGUGAAAUAGUACCUGU